GACGAACGCUGGCGGCGUGCUUAACACAUGCAAGUCGAACGGAAAGGCCCUGCUUUUGUGGGGUGCUCGAGUGGCGAACGGGUGAGUAACACGUGAGUAACCUGCCCUUGACUUUGGGAUAACUUCAGGAAACUGGGGCUAAUACCGGAUAGGAGCUCCUGCUGCAUGGUGGGGGUUGGAAAGUUUCGGCGGUUGGGGAUGGACUCGCGGCUUAUCAGCUUGUUGGUGGGGUAGUGGCUUACCAAGGCUUUGACGGGUAGCCGGCCUGAGAGGGUGACCGGCCAAAUUGGGACUGGGAUACGGCCCAGCCCCCUAGGGGGGGCAGCAGGGGGGAAUAUUGCAAAAGGGGGGGAAGCCUGAUGCAGCAACGCCGGGGGGGGGAUGCGGGCCUUCGGGUUGUAAACCGCUUUCGCCGGGGACGAAGGGUGGGUGACGGUAAUGGGUAAAGAAGCACCGGCUAACUACGU
This 467-nucleotide ribosomal RNA is filed under the name uncultured bacterium. RNAcentral describes it as "partial 16S ribosomal RNA". It matches the Rfam family "Bacterial small subunit ribosomal RNA", at positions 28 to 506 of the family's 1533-position model. The record is from RNAcentral.